CCACCCUCAGGCGCGGCCUGGUGUUGGGGCCCUACCGUGCGCAGCCUCCGAAAGACAGCGGCGGUCCCGAUCCCGGCUCCGAGCGUAGUAAUACACGUCGCUCCGGGCGCCUGGCGGGCUCCCAGCCGGAAACCUCAUAUCAAUGG
RNAcentral lists this unclassified non-coding RNA (146 nucleotides) under uncultured Chaetosphaeria. RNAcentral describes it as "sequence contains ITS2". The record is from RNAcentral. Lineage: Eukaryota; Fungi; Ascomycota; Sordariomycetes; Chaetosphaeriales; Chaetosphaeriaceae.